GAGACUGGCAAGAUAUCUUAUAUUAUUAACAAUUUUUCGAUUCUUUGAAAAAAUUAAUUUCAAUUUCAAAAGUUUUUUGAAAUUAAUAAAACUAUCAUUGAAAGGAUAAACAAACUAGUAUAAAAAUAAGUGUCCGGCUGAACUAAAACUCAGACCAACAGGUCCACCCUUUACACCCGGUCCUAAAGCCCAACACGUGAUUGAUAAAAUAUAAAGCUAAUAUCUGUUUGGAAGAGCAAAGGAUGAGAGUAGCAGCAUCUGCGUCUCUUUACACAAUCCGUCCAAUGUCCAUCAGAUAUGGCUUCCAUCAACAUCAUGCCAUUAAAUCUCCUCAGCUGUACAAAUAUUCUGAAGAUAAAAUAAUUGAAGUAAAAGUAAAUUGCAUAUAAAAGAAAGCUUGGGCAGCCAUUUCCUUGUUUAUAAUAUCAUUAUUAGCAUGGAAAUUCAGUAGCAGUGAAACAUUGCAUCCCCCAAAUCCACAGGGACCUGGAUGCAAAAUGAAUAAACACUUAUUUAUACUCAUGGAAAACUACAACAGGAAAAAAGUGCAUAUAAAGCAAAAUUACAAACCAGUGGAUUGAUCUUGUUAGGACCAUUGCCUACAUUCGUCAUGAACCUCACAACUGUACAUUCCAUGUCCUGCUUCAAGUACCUCCUGCAUUGCUCAAUGGUAACAUCAAAUUACAAGUACGAUAUAAUAGUGAACUUGGUAAAGACAGCAAAAAAUGAGGUUAUAUAUAUAUAUAUAUAUCAACUAUCUGUUCAAAUUAGAAAGACAAAUGCUUACCAGCUAAUUUUGAAGAAAGAAUUCUGAUGGAGUCACCUAUAUCUUCUGCUAUUUCUUUUCCCACACUUUUUGAACUUGUCCACCCAUUUGUUUCCCAACUCAUUCAGCACUGUAUAUCCAAUACAUAGCCCAACGACUAAUCCACUAGCAUAACCUAUCAACGCAAUUUUCCAAGUAGACAGAGCAUUUAACCAUGAAUCUUCACCUUCCCCUGGAGGUGGUGGCAUUGGAAGACUAACUUCAUUGCAUUUCCUUGACAAUGGCAGCCCACACAAUUUUGGGUUCCCACGGUAGGAAUCAUUUGUAAAUGUAAUGAAUUGGUUGCUUUGUGGUAUGCUCCCUUCAAGUUGGUUGCAUGACAAGUUCAAUGCUGCCAGGAAAGUUAAACUUGUAAGUUGUGCAGGAAUCUUCCCUGACAGCUCAUUCUGUGAGAGAUCCAAAGAUUCAAGAUCUUUUAGAUUUUCAAGUGCUAAUGGGAUUUCACCAGAAAAGCCAUUGUUGGAUAAGUUUAUCACUCUGAGUGACCUCAGCAUUUGUAUCUCUUCUGGUAUUCUCCCAUGGAAACUAUUGUUGGAAAGGUCAAGACAAGUAAGAAUUGUCAAGACUUUUUGGUACAACAUUUCAAUCCCUCUGUUAACAAUUGUCACAGAGUCUUGAUAAUAAUUCUCUCCGAUAUAAUCCAGCGUAGCCUUUUCAUCAUUAGUCAUCUCCGCCAUUGCCUUCAAACUCUGCAAAAAUUCAAUAGACAAGUCACCUGAAAAAUUGUUGGAAGCAAUGUCCAAUAUGCGUAGCUUUGGAAACCCACGUUUCGUGUCAAUUUUUGAAAUUGUGCCGUAGAAUCUGUUUGCUCGCAAAACGAGAACCUUCAAGGAAGGUAGCUUCUCUAACCAAAAUGGGAAUGUAUCAUGAACCAUAUUAUUUCCAAGGUCCAGAACCUCAAGUGCUGUGCAAUUGGCUAAUGAUCUCGACAGCUUCCCUUCCAAUUUAUUCCCACCUAUUUUGAGUGACCUUAGUCGAGUGGGUUGAAGGAAAUCAAUGGAUAGUUCACCAGAAAACUGGUUUGAAGCAAUGUCCAAUACAUCCAAAGUUGGGAAAACAGAUUUAUGUUUGAAAUGUUUAAUUUGACCAUAAAAUCUGUUUUCCCGCAAUAUUAGAACCGUCAAGUAAGGCAAUUUCUCCAACCAAAAAGGGAAUGUAUCAUUCAUCUUGUUGCUUCCCACGUCCAAAACUUCAAGCUGAGUGCAUUCAGCUAAUGAUCUGGGCAACUUUCCUUCCAAUCUAUUCUCACUAACUUUGAGAAACGACAGUUGGGUUGCUUUUGAAAAUUUUGGCAUCAUUCCACUGAAGUUAUUUCCUUGCAGAUCCAACGAAUAGAGAGCACUCAUAUUGCCCAAGCAAUUCGGAAUUGGGCCACUCAAACUGUUAUAAGAUACAUCAAAACGGCCGAGUCGACUCAUUUUGCAUAACCAAUUUGGAAUUGGGCCACUCAAAUUGUUAGAAGAUGCGUCGAAACUGAAAGGCCCCUGUGAAAAAUUUGAACUCUGAUUGGGUAGAAGUUGUUCCAAAGACGAGAGAUGGUUAUUAGCAAGAUACAGAUACCGCAAACUUUUCUUCCACACCCAGUUUGGAAUUGCACCACUUAUUUUAUUAUUUGAAAGUUCGAGAUAUUCCAAAUUUUCUUGACUCUUUAAGAACUCUGGAAAUGAGCUUAUGUUACAAGAUUCCAGAUACAAUUCCCUCAACAUUGAAAAAGAGAAGUUUAAAUCACUUAAGGGAAGCUGUUUUGGAAAAUCAAUCACAUUGAAAGAAAGGUUUACCCUUAAAAGAGUGCUAUUCCACAACCAAUUAGGCACAACACCAUGGAUAUGGUUGUUAGAAAGAUCUAACACAACCAACUUGUCUUGUGUUUUGAUGAACUCUGGAAACGCACUUAUGUUACAAGACCUCAAAUGCAAUACUUUCAACAUUGGAAAUGAGAAGUUAGCAUCAUUUAAGGGAAGCUGUUUUGGAAAAUCAAUCAUAUUGAAAGAAAGGUCUACCCAUGAAAGACUGCUCUUCCACAACAAAUUGGGCACAACACCAUGGAUAUGAUUGCUAGAAAGAUAUAAGUCAACCAACUUGUCUUGCCUUUUAAUGAAUUCUGGAAAUUCAGUAAGGUUGCAUGACUUUAGCCCUAGGCUCUCUAAUUGGGGAAAAGUAAGACUUCCGUUGUCGCUGUCAAUUAACAAGCUUACGUUGGAUAAGUAGAGACCCUUUAAGUUCUUGAGUUGGACAAACAUGUCAAGCUUCAUGGAACUGAAGCUAUUGUCUCGGAUAUAAAGCCAUUCAAGCCUUGGAAGUUGAAGGAUUGAUUUUGGGAUUGUUCCUUUUAAAUAAUUAUUGCCUAUAUAUAAUUCUUGAAUCAAAGAAGAAGAUGCAUUGGGGAACUCAUCAAUUUUCCCAACCAAUUGAUUUUCUCCAAGAUACAAGAUCUUCAACGAUGGAAGAGUAAAUAAAGAAGAAUGUAUUGAUCCAGAAAGCUUGUUCCCUCCUAGAUAUAGGUUGACCAGGUGACUAAGAUUUGCAAUUGACGAUGGAAUGGGUCCAAAAAAAUUGCAAUCAUCAAGCUCUAAAUUUGUCAGGAACUUGAGGUUACCAAUUGAUUGGGGUAGUUUUUCACUGAAAUUUGUAUAAGAAAGCGACAAACUCUGUAAAGAAUUGUUUGAUGAAAAUUCUGGCAACUGACCCAUAAGUUGGUCAUUAUCUGAAAUGUCAAUGCUUUGCAUUUUUGGCGAUAAGAGAUUUUCAGUUGGAAAAUGGCCACUCAAAUUGCAGUUCCUCUGUUGGUGCAAGAGGCAGCAGCAAGCUGUUUCUAGUCUUGCUUGAGUAGUAAGGCUCGAGGCUUGGUGAAGAAGCAAACUCGGAAGCAAUAAAAAACAGAAAGAUGAAGCUAGCAAGUGAAAACAGAAAAGAGAGAAAGAGAUUGAAUGAAAAUGAGCUGAUAUUUUUCAUUAACACAUGAACAAGGCAUUAAGCCAUUACAUAUAUCAGUCAAUAAGUAAAACAAACAAGUAAUCACCUACUAACAUACCUAACACCACUAAAAUGCCUAGUAACUUGGUAAACUUGAUUGAAAAACAAAAAAGCUUCUACCUAAGCUUGUCAUUCAGCACCUAAUUACAUCAAAAUGCAGCUACCAACUAAGUUUGAUCCUAACUAAAUACAAAACAUUCAAUUAAGGAAACCAAAUGAAUAGCUUCAGCUUGCUGCAUCAAUUUGCUGCUGAAGCACGUUCCUUGCAUGGCCACCUUUGCUGCUACAUGGGAGCUGACUUCAACACUCCUCCUCAGCUUCUAUGCAGCAGACUCCUAGCUUCCUCUUCAGGCUUAGAUAUCUUGAUACACCAAGAGGCUUUGUGAAGAUAUCGGCAAUCUGAUUUUCAGAACUGCAAUGGAUUAGCUCAAUUUCUCGAGCUUGUUCCAUUUCUCUUAUCACAUGGAGUUUGAUGUUGAAAUGUUUUGUCCUGCCAUGAAAGACAGGAUUUUUAGCAAUAGCAACUGCUGACUUGUUGUCACAAUGUAUCACAGUUGCUUCAUUCUGCUGUAGAUUCAAGUCACUCAAAAUUUUUCUCAGCCACAUGGCUUGAUUAACAGCAUUGGCAGCUGCUACAUACUCUGCUUCUGCUGUCGAUUGAGCCACCAUUGUUUGUUUUCUUGAGCUCCAACAAAUCAUAGCUGAGCCAAGUGUAAAAGCAUAGCCAGAAGUGCUCUUCAUGUCAUCCUUUGAACCAGCCCAAUCGCUAUCAGUGUAGCCAAUCAGUUUCAACUCUUCAGCCUUUCUAAACUGUAUUCCAUGGUUUAAGGUACCUUUAAUGUAUCUUAGCACCCUUUUCCCAGCCUUGUAAUGUUGCUGGUUACAGCAGUGCAUGAACCUUGAUAGCAUGCUUACAGCAAACAAAAUGUCGGGUCUUGUUGCUGUCAAAUACAAUAAACACCCAACAAGGCUUCUGUAAUCUGUUUCACAGACAGAUUCAUGUUCCUCCUGGCUCGAUAGCUUUAUGCCAAUAGCCAUUGGUGUGCUCACUGGUUUGCAAUUCUCCAUUGAGAAUUUAGCCAGCACUUUCAAGGCAAAUGUCUUUUGUUUCAAGAAGAUUCCUCCUUCUAUUUGAUUGACUUCCAUUCCUAGGAAAUAUGUCAUCAAUCCCAGGUCUGACAUCUCAAACAUUUUCUUCAUUCUUGCUUUGAAAUCAACCAUCAUAAGCUUGUCUCCUCCAGUCACGAGAAGAUCAUCAACAUAUAGUGACACAAUAAGCUGUGUUUCAGCUCCAUUCUUCUUAACAUAGAGUGUUGGCUCACUAGCACUCCUUUCAAAUCCCAAACUGACCAAAUAUGAGUCAAUUCGAGCAUACCAGGCUCGAGGGGCCUGUUUUAGGCCAUACAAGGCCUUUCUUAGCCUAUACACCAAUUGUUCCUUACCAGGCACUAUAAAACCUGGGGGUUGCUCGAUGUAUAUCUCUUCUUCAAGAAAUCCAUUGAGGAAUGCAGACUUGACAUCCAUCUGGUGGAUUGUCCACUGGUUCUGAGCAGCAACUGCAAUCAGCAAUCUGAUUGUAUCGAGUCUGGCUACUGGAGCAAAUGUUUCCAUGUAGUCCAGACCAUACCUUUGACUGAAGCCCUUUACAACUAGCCUGGCCUUUAGCUUGUUUAAGCUUCCAUCUGCAUUGUACUUCACUCGAUAGACCCAUUUUACACCGAUAGUCUUUCUGUUGGCAGGCUUUUCAACCAACUCCCAUGUCUGAUUCUUUACAAUCAUGUUGAUUUCAUCAACCAUAGCUUGUUUCCAACCUUCAUCUGCCUCAGCCUCUUCAAAACUGCUAGGUUCUGCUAAUGCAACCUGUGCCCUUUCAUAAAUAUCUUCUAGGGGCCUUGUGCCUCUCACAGGCACAUCAUCAACAUCCAUUUCAGGUUCUAGCUGCUCAAGUUCAGCUUGAUUAGGCACUAGGUCUUCUGAAAUUGCUUCUGGCUCAUUUUUCUCCCAAUUCCAGCAGGCUUUUUCAUCAAAGAUGACAUCUCUGCUCACUUGGACUUUGUUUGUCAAGGGAUCCAGAACCCUGUAGCCCUUUUUGACUGAGCUGUAGCCUACUAGAACACCUGGUUGAGCCCUUUUAGAGAGCUUGUCUCUCUUUGCUGCUGGUAUUUGUGCAUAACACAGGCAACCAAACACUUUCAGGUGUGCCAAGGAAGGCUUGAAACCAAACCAAGCCUCGAAAGGUGUCUCGGAUGCAAGAGCUUUAGUGGGAAGCCUGUUCUGAAGGUAAACAGCAGUGUUUACUGCCUCAGCCCACAUGGUCUUGGGCAGUUUCUUCUCAAACAGCAGACAUCUGGCCAUAUCCAUCAGACUUCUAUUCUUUCUUUCAGCUACCCCAUUCUGCUGAGGUGUGUAGACAUUUGUAAGCUGAUGUUUGAUACCAGCAUCAUUGCAAAUGGCUUGAAACUGAGCUGAAGUGUACUCAGUGCCAUUGUCUGUCCUUAUCGAUUUCAGCUUGCAACCUGUUUCUGUUUCUACAGCAUUUUUAAACUUCACAAACACUUGAGCUACCUCAGACUUGUGUUUUAAAAAGAAAAUCCAGCAAAACCUUGUAAGAUCAUCAAUAAAGAGGAUGAAAUACCUGUUUUUGCUGAGUGAUUCAGUCCUCAUCGGGCCACAUACAUCAGAGUGCACCAGCUGUAGUCUUUCAGUAGCUCUCCAAGCUGAAUUUGUAGGAAAUGGCAGUCUUGCCUGUUUCCCCAUUUGGCAGACUUCACACACAUCAUCAUGCUCCACUGAGCUGGUGAAGUUCUCUGCCAUGCCCUCUUUGGCCAAUCGAGCCAUUGAUCUGAAGUUGGCAUGUCCAAGCCUUUGAUGCCAAAGCUUGGAGUCUUCAACAGAGGCUGUGUAUGCUGAGUUUGAGUCAUUUGCCCAGUGAACCUCAAAGCAUUUAUCAGUCAUUGUGACUGUCAUAAGGCUUGAUCCACUUGGAUCAGUAAUAUGGCAUUGUUUAUCCUUGAACACAACAGAAUAACCUUUCUCGAGCAGUUGAGCUAUGCUGAGAAGGUUUCUGUCAAUCUGUGGUACCAACAGCACAUUUGGAAUGAUCUUGUUGCCUGUGGGAGUAGAUAUCAGCACUUCUCCUCUUCCUUCAGCCCUUAUAAACUGACCAUUUCCAACCUUGACCUUGGUUUUAUAACUUCUGUCCAAGGUUUUAAACAAGGAGGCAUCUGGUGACAUGUGGUUAGUGCAACCACUGUCCAGCAGCCAGCCUUUAGAGCAUUUCUUCUCAGAAGCUACACAGGAAACAGCAAAGACCUGUUCUUCUUGGUCACUACUGUCCUCAGCUACUCGAGCUUCAACCUUUGACUGCUGAAAUUGAUUCUGCCUUGGCUUACUUCUGUUUUUGCAGACCCUUUCAACAUGGCCCUUCUUCUUGCAGUGUUGGCAUACUGCAUCUGGCCUAAACCAGCAUCUGUCUUCUGGAUGGCCAGGCUUCUUGCAAUAUCUGCAUGGCUGGUCAUUGCUCCUUGCAGCAUCAGGCUUAGGCCUGUUUUUCCAAGGCCUUUUGCCUCUUUGAGCAUUAGUGCUCGAGGUUUCUCUGGCCUUGGCUUGAAAUGCACCUUCUUGGUGAUCUUCAGCUCUGCUAGCUCUUCUUUGUUCCUGAGCAUAAAAGGUGUUGAUUAGCUCAGUCAAAGAGAUGCUAGCAAGAUCUCUUGAGUCCUCUAGAGAGGAUAUCUUGGCCUCAUAUCUCUCAGGCAAAGUGGAGAGGACUUUCUCCACAAUUCUUGCCUCAUCAAAGUGCUCACCUAGGAGCCUUAUGCUGUUAACCACUGCCAUAAUUCUAUCUGAGUACUGCUUCACUGUUUCUUCUUCCUUCAUCUUCAAAUUCUCGAAAUCCCUUCUCAAGUUUAGCAGCUGCUGUUGCCUUGUUCUCUCAGUGCCUUGAAACUCCUCCUUAAGCUUAUCCCAGGCCUGUUUUGGAGUCUCACAGGCCAUGAUUCUGGUGAAGAUGACAUCUGACACACAGUUCUGGAUGCAGGACAUGGCUUUGUGCCUUUUGGUCCUCUCAUCAGCAUGUUGCCUAAUCUGAGCUACUGUGGGAUUAGCCCUCAGUGGUGCUGGCUCAGUAUCUGUGUUGACAACUUCCCACAGAUCAAAAGCCUGUAGGUAAGUCUUCAUCUUGACCAGCCAUAUGUGAAAGCCUUCUCCAUUGAAGACUGGUGGGGCUGCUGGUGAAAAUCCUGAAGAAGCCAUCAAGUUCUUUGUUUUGAAGCAACAGGUCCACUAAGACAAGAGCUCUCGAUACCAAUUGUUGGUGCAAGAGGCAGCAGCAAGCUGUUUCUAGUCUUGCUUGAGUAGUAAGGCUCGAGGCUUGGUGAAGAAGCAAACUCGGAAGCAAUAAAAAACAGAAAGAUGAAGCUAGCAAGUGAAAACAGAAAAGAGAGAAAGAGAUUGAAUGAAAAUGAGCUGAUAUUUUUCAUUAACACAUGAACAAGGCAUUAAGCCAUUACAUAUAUCAGUCAAUAAGUAAAACAAACAAGUAAUCACCUACUAACAUACCUAACACCACUAAAAUGCCUAGUAACUUGGUAAACUUGAUUGAAAAACAAAAAAGCUUCUACCUAAGCUUGUCAUUCAGCACCUAAUUACAUCAAAAUGCAGCUACCAACUAAGUUUGAUCCUAACUAAAUACAAAACAUUCAAUUAAGGAAACCAAAUGAAUAGCUUCAGCUUGCUGCAUCAAUUUGCUGCUGAAGCACGUUCCUUGCAUGGCCACCUUUGCUGCUACAUGGGAGCUGACUUCAACAUCCUCAAACUGAGAGAAACCAAACGAGAGGAAAUUUCCAAGAAAUUGGGAGGUAAAUAAGAGAUUGGGUUCCAAUCAAGGAUAAGUUUGGAAAGAAAAGAGAGUCUUGAGAGUGAAGAACAUAAUGGACCUUUCAAACCACAGCUUGACAGACUCAACACAUGCAGGUUUGGAAGUACAAGAGAUGUGGUUUCACACCAUUUAGUACUUUGAGUUGAAAUGUCGACACCAUCCAAAUAAAGCUCCGUGAGAAACUUCAAAUUCUUGAUAAAUGUCUUGAAGUUUGGUUUCUCCAAUUUUAAAGUAGCUGAGUUAUAAUCGUAACCAUUUCUCCAAUAGCAAUCAUCUUGAUAAGAUAGGUUCAGAGAGACUAACCUUGUUAGGUGUGAGAUGUUCAUUGGAAUUUGGCCAUGGAAACAUGAGCUUGAAAGGUUGAGAUGAGUUAGAUUUUGGAGUUUAUCAAACCCAUAGGAAAACAGAGUGGUAUUAAAGUUGUUUCCAGCAAGAUUAAGGCGUUGAAGACGAUGGAGAUUGAAUAUGGGGUGAAAGCUGCCUGAAAGGUUUUUGUAACUAAGAUCAAUGCCAACGACAUGACCAUAAGCAUCACAAGUGACUCCUUCCCAAGAGCAACAAUCAGUGUUGACAUCCCAGAGGUCAAAUUCGGAAGAGAAAGUAAAAUGAGGGGCAUAGUAAAGAUGAUGCUGCAAUUGCAGGAGAGGAGCUCUCUGGUCAUCAAGGCAUUGCUUAGGGAGAUGAGAUUGAGGAGGUGAAAAAGACAAGACAAGAGAAAGGAAGCAUGAGAAGAGGAAGAGUGAAAUAAGGAAAUGAAGAGUGUUCAUGUUUGUUGGGUGUGAAGAAGGAUUGUGCUUGGCAUACAACUUAUUUAUACACAAAUGUGUAGUUUUCAUGUUUGGCAUAGCAUGCAAUUUCCAAGUCUUUUUGCCCAGUCAAUACUGCAUCAAAAUAAUGUUCCACCACUUUAGUUAAGUCUUUUUGGUUAACCUUUUCCAGCAAGGGAUAAUAAUAAUAAUAAUACUAAUAAUAAAUAAUUUAUAGCAUAAAUUAUUUGUUGUUAGUAUUAGAAAUAAGUUGUUAAAUUCACAUUUAAUUUGCGUUUUAAUAUAUUAUUAGAGAAUAAUAUAUUAUUGAUGUCAUUUUUUUAAUAUUUAAUAUUUAUGUUUUAUGUUUUAUAUUAAUAAAUAUUUUUAUAAUUCGAGUUUCGAGUUGAAUUUUACAAUUUAAAUAACUCAAAUACUUCAAACAAUAAAUUGAUGUACAUGCUCCUUUGGUCCCUGUCAAUUUUAAAAAUUAACAAAUUGAUCUCUCUCAACAAAAGUUUUCAAAUAAAAUUUUAAAUAAUUUUUAAAAUCAAAAUAUUCAUAAAAAUUCUCAAAUUUAUAUUUUGUAAAAACUAUAAUAAUUUUAAAUCAUAAUGGUUUUAAUUUGAAAAUUUUAAAAUCUUUAAUUUAGGACCAGAAAAAAUUGUAGUAUGAAAUAUUAUAGGCCUUUUAAUUUAGGUAUUAAGUCUUUGGCAUUGCAUGCAAAUGUCCAAGUUUUUAUUGCACAAAAAUAAUGUUUAACCAAUGUGUACAAGUCAAGUCACCUUAUAGAUUGAUGGACACAAUAAGUGGAAAUUUUGAUGAUAGAAUAUAUAGAAUUUUUCACUUUUGAAAGAUACAUUUUUAAAUUUCAGCUUUCAAACUUUCUUAAAGCUUGAGAAAUAUUUUCAUUUCUAUAUUAUUAUUUAAUUAUUAUUUAAUUUUAAUAUUUUAAUAUUUUAUAAUAUUAAAAAUAGUUAUAAUUCGAGGUUCGAGUUGAAUUUUAUAAUUUAAAUAAUUCGAAUAAUUCAAAUAACAGAUUGAUAUAUUUACUCCUUUGAUUCUUGUCAAUUUUAAAAAUUAACAAAUUAAUAUUCUCUCUCAACAAAAAUUACAAAAAUAUAUUAAAAUAUUUUUAAAGUUAAAAUAUUCAUAAAAAUUCUAAAAUUUAUAUUAUGUAAAGACUAUAAUAAUUUUUUAUUAUUUUGCUUUGAAACAGUUUUCUAAUAUUUAUGAUUUCAAAUAUUAAUUAUACUAUAAUAAAAUUUUAAUUUGACAUAUUUAUUUUUUAAUUUAAAUCAAACAAUUUUACACAAUAAUGUUUUUUAUAUACCCUAUAAUUUUGACCAGUCAACACUAUAAACAUAGGUAAAAUACAAAUACAUAAGAGCUCAAAAAUAACACUAAAAAAAACAAUUGUUUGAUUUAUUAGUAGAGAAUUGGAUUUUUAAUUCUAAUGAUUAAAUAUCAAACUCAAACAACUUCAAAUAUAUAUACAUAAAGGAUGUUAUGUAACACUCAUAAAAAUCAUCAAAAAUAAAUGAGUACUCCUAAAUCCCAACUUAUAAAUAUGCUAUGAUCUACCAACGGGUUUAAUUAAAUCCAACACCCCAAAUUAUGGGCUCAACUCUAACACUACACCAGAACAGGCUUUUAGCGGCAUAUUUUGUGGCGUUUGGAUUACAAACGCCGCUAAAAAUCGAGCAUUAGUGGCGCAAAGAAUACAACGCCGCUAAAGAUCUAGCAUUAGCGGCGCUUCUUUUAAAACGCCGCAAAAAGUCGGAUGAAUAGUGGCGUUUCCCGAACAAACGCCAUAAAAAAACAUCAUUAGUGGCGUUUACCACACAGUGCCGUAGAAUCUCAAGACCAACACGCAGUGUUCUGGUCUUGAUGUAUAUUAGAAUUAGUGGCGCUUACGAACAAACGCCGGUAAUGCAUAGUAUUAGCGACGCUUAGCGGAAGCGCCGCAAAAGAUGUUAACCAAAACGCAGAGUUUGGUGUUGAUGUAUAUUACAAUUAGUGGUGCUUAUAAAGAAAACGCCGCUAAUGUAUAGUAUUAGCGGCGCUGAGCGUUAAAUGCCGCAAAACAUCUUAACCAAAACGCAGCGUUUUGGUCUUGAUGUAUAUUAUAAUUAGUGGCGUUUAAGGAAAACGCCACUAAAGCAUAGUAAUAGCAGCGUUUGGUUGUAAGCGCCUCAAAAUAUCUUAACCAAAACGCGGAGUUUGGUCUUGAGGUAUAUUAGAAUUAGUGGCGCUUAUUGGAAAACGCCGCUAAACUAUAGUAGUAGCGGCGCUUGUGGAAAGCGCCGCAAAGUAUCCUAACCAAAACGCAGAGUUUGGCCUUGACGUAUAUUAGAGUUAGUGGCACUUAUUUCAAAACGCCGCUAAUGCUUACUAUUUGCGGCGCUUUGUGGUAAGUGCCGCCAAAAAAUGCACAAUAAAAGGAAAAUACAAAAAGCAAGCCAAUUAAAAAUAAAAAACAAAGGAAGCAAUAAGUAAAUAAAUAAAUAAAAAGGUGACUACCAAUAAAACAUUUUAUUAAAAAUUGAAAAUAAAUAAAUAAAUAAUAAAUGAAACAGUUUGUAAAAAAAAUUGAAGUUAAAUAAACUAAGGAUCAUAUUGAAAUCGGAAUAAAAUUAAGGAGUAUAAAUUGUAAAUAAAAAAGGCUAAUAAGAAUUAAAAUAUAACAUGCUAAAAAGAAUAGGGACCGAAUAGGAGAAUAUACCUUGCCCUUAUGCGCACCGUUUCUCACGGGACUAAAAUGAAAUAAAAUUAAAAUUUCGUGAUAAAAUUAACAUAAAACCUAGACCAACAGGUUCACUCUUUAUUAAUGAGUAUGGAACUUCUGAAUAUGUUAGGAUUUACCAAAAGGUUAAUUCCUUAAAUUAUGGAUUAAAUUUUAAAUUGAUUUCUAAAUUUUUAAAAAAAAAUUUGAUUAAGCCCUCAAACUAUAAGUUACAUCCUAAUUUGAAAUUUUUAAUUUUGGACUAACAAAGAAAAUAUUAGUGUGAGAUAUUGUUGGCCUUUGGCUAACAUUGGAAAGCAUACUAGAUUUUAAGAAAUAAUUUAUUUGAUAAAAUUUUUAUUAUUUUUAUUAUUUUUAUCAUAUUAUUACUUAAUUCAACCAUAUUUUUAAAAUUAAUAAAACUAUCCUUGAAAGUAUAAAUAAACUAGUAUAAAAAUAAGUGACGGGCUGAACUAAAACCCGGACCAACAGGUCCACCCUUUACACCCGGUCCUAAAGCCCAACACGUGAUUCAUAAAAUAUAAAACUCAUGUCUGUUUGGAAGAGCAAAGGAUGGGAGUAGCAGCAUCUGCGUCUCUUUACACAAUCAGUCCAAUGUCCGUCAAAUAUGGCUUUCACCAACAUCAUGCCAUCAAAUCUCCUCAGCUGUACAAAUAUUCUGAAGAUAAAAAAAUUGAAGUGAAUUGCAUAUAAAAGAAAGCUUGGGCAGACAUUUCCUUGUUUAUAAUAUCAUUAUUAGCAUGGAAAUUCAGUAGCAGUGAAACAUUGCAUCCCCCAAAUCCACAGGGACCUGGAUGCAAAAUGAAUAAACACUUAUUUAUACUCAUAGAAAACUACAACAGGAAAAAAGUGCAUAUAAAGCAAAACUACAAACCAGUGGAUUGAUCUUGUUAGGAUCAUUGCCUACAUUCUUCAUGAACCUCACAACUGUACAUUCCAUUUCCUACUUCAAGUACCUCCUGCAUUGCUCAAUGGUAACAUCAAAUUACAAGUACGAUAUGAUAGUGAAGUUGGUAAUGACAACAAAAAAUGAGGUUAUGAAAACCUAUAUAUAUACAUAUAUAUCAACAACUAUCUGUUCAAAUUAGAAAGACAAAUGCUUACCAGCUAAUUUUGAAGCAAAAAUUCUGACGGAG
Molecule: long non-coding RNA, 13303 nt
Filed under: Gossypium barbadense (sea-island cotton)
Lineage: Eukaryota; Viridiplantae; Streptophyta; Magnoliopsida; Malvales; Malvaceae
Description: long non-coding RNA (GBAR_LNC013884)
Source: RNAcentral